Molecule: long non-coding RNA, 604 nt
Filed under: Equus caballus (horse)
Lineage: Eukaryota; Metazoa; Chordata; Mammalia; Perissodactyla; Equidae
Description: lncRNA (ENSECAG00000052950.1)
Source: RNAcentral
UAACAAACUCUGAAUAAAUAGACUUUGCUUAUUCUCAUUUGGAUAGUCUUUGUCUAUUUCCACACUUCUAUGCACCCAGCAUUGUUCUGGGUGCUGGAAAUAAUAUUGAACAAGGCAGGAAAAUAUCUCUGCCCUUAUGGGGCUAAUAUACUUUUGGGAGAGACAGACAAUAAGCAAGGAGAGAAAUUAAGUAAGCAUUAUGAUAAUAAACUACUAUGAAGGAAAUAAGACAGGAUGAUGUAAUUGAUUGGGGGUGGAUACUGUUAUACUGAAUAACGAAGAAAAACUUCCUUGAGGAGGCGACAUUUCAGUUGAAAGCUAAGAGGUAAAGAAGAGCCAGUCUUGUGAAUUGCUGGGGGAAGAGACUCCAGGUUGAAGGAAAGGUCUGAGAUUCUCAAAACAUGGAACAAGGAAUAAUAGUGUUAUAUCAAGAAGCUUUAGAUGGUAAAUAGACAUGGCAUCAAACAGUGCUGAAACGUGCUAGCUGCCAUGUUGUGAGAAGAGGCUCAAAUGGUGAGGAUCUGAGGCACCUGUCCAACAUCCAUUGAGGAACUGAAGCAUCUUGCCAGGCGCCAUGACAACUUUCCUCUGUGUGGGCUUCACC